RNAcentral lists this transfer RNA (70 nucleotides) under Salmo salar (Atlantic salmon). It matches the Rfam family "tRNA". Rfam says of the family: Transfer RNA (tRNA) molecules are approximately 80 nucleotides in length. Their secondary structure includes four short double-helical elements and three loops (D, anti-codon, and T loops). RNAcentral also lists the same sequence under 1 other name. The record is from Rfam by way of RNAcentral. Lineage: Eukaryota; Metazoa; Chordata; Actinopteri; Salmoniformes; Salmonidae.
UCCUGUGUGGCUCAGUUGGUAGAGCAUGACACUUGCAAUGCCAGAGUUGUGGAUUCGAUUCCCAAAGGGG